ACUCGAGGCCGGUGAGCUGC
RNAcentral lists this microRNA (20 nucleotides) under Caenorhabditis elegans. Its description in RNAcentral is "cel-miR-8211-5p". Lineage: Eukaryota; Metazoa; Nematoda; Chromadorea; Rhabditida; Rhabditidae. The record is from miRBase by way of RNAcentral.